This 525-nucleotide ribosomal RNA is filed under the name uncultured bacterium. RNAcentral describes it as "bacterial SSU rRNA". It matches the Rfam family "Bacterial small subunit ribosomal RNA", at positions 777 to 1300 of the family's 1533-position model. The record is from RNAcentral.
AAUAGAUACCCUGGUAGUCCAUGCCGUAAACGUUGGGCACUAGGUGUGGGGCUCAUUCCACGAGUUCCGUGCCGCAGCAAACGCAUUAAGUGCCCCGCCUGGGGAGUACGGCCGCAAGGCUAAAACUCAAAGGAAUUGACGGGGGCCCGCACAAGCGGCGGAGCAUGCGGAUUAAUUCGAUGCAACGCGAAGAACCUUACCAAGGCUUGACAUGCACGGGAAGCCACCAGAGAUGGUGGUCUCUUUGGACACUCGUGCACAGGUGGUGCAUGGUUGUCGUCAGCUCGUGUCGUGAGAUGUUGGGUUAAGUCCCGCAACGAGCGCAACCCUCGUCCCAUGUUGCCAGCGGGUUAUGCCGGGGACUCAUGGGAGACUGCCGGGGUCAACUCGGAGGAAGGUGGGGAUGACGUCAAAUCAUCAUGCCCCUUAUGUCUUGGGCUUCACGCAUGCUACAAUGGCCGGUACAAAGGGCUGCGAUGCCGUAAGGUGGAGCGAAUCCCAAAAAGCCGGUCUCAGUUCGGAGUU